RNAcentral lists this ribosomal RNA (468 nucleotides) under uncultured bacterium. RNAcentral's name for it is "partial 16S ribosomal RNA". It matches the Rfam family "Bacterial small subunit ribosomal RNA", at positions 28 to 507 of the family's 1533-position model. The record is from RNAcentral.
GACGAACGCUGGCGGCGUGCUUAACACAUGCAAGUCGAACGGAAAGGCCCUGCUUUUGUGGGGUGCUCGAGUGGCGAACGGGUGAGUAACACGUGAGUAACCUGCCCUUGACUUUGGUAUAACUUCAGGAAACUGGGGCUAAUACCGGAUAGGAGCUCCUGCUGCAUGGUGGUGGUUGGAAAGUUUCGGCGGUUGGGGUUGGACUCCGGGCUUAUAAGCUUGUUGGUGGGGUAGUGGCUUACCAAGGCUUUGACGGGUAGCCGGCCUGAGAGGGUGACCGGCCAAAUUGGGACUGGGAUACGGCCCAGACUCCUACGGGAGGAAGCAGUGGGGAAUAUUGCACAAUGGGCGGAAGCCUGAUGCAGCAACGCCGCGUGCGGGAUGACGGCCUUCGGGUUGUAAACCGCUUUCGCCUGUGACGAAGCGUGAGUGACGGUAAUGGGUAAAGAAGCACCGGCUAACUACGUG